GCGGGGGGUGGGUGGGGGAGUGUGUGGGGUGGGUGAGGACGGUCCUCCGUCUCCGUCCCUCGUGUCUCUGGCAGGAAUCUGGGAACAAACGGGGAGCUUCACGGCGGCGGCACUUCAGAGGGGGCGGAGCGAGGGCGGGGUCAGACUCACUUCUAAGGCUUCGUAUGGCAUGUCCCGCUAAAAGCUACCAGCUCCAACCAGAGACCACCUGCUUAAAACCUGGUGUCUGGCUGGGGACUCUGUAAUCCACACUGAACCGGUCCUGACCUCCCGUCCUCCGCCGAGCCCCUCGUCUACUCUGACCCCUGUUGGACUCUAGAAGGCACUGGUUUGGACUUGUUUCUCCACAUUCUAACAGCUAAGAAGAGCAAUCGAGGCAAUGAGGAACACAAACACUCGGACCAGCCGAGGGGGGAGGGGGUCCAGCUGGCUCCCACCGAUGCUACCGGUUUUGCUUCACGCGCCUGGUGGUGUCACAGCGGUUUGAACAGUCUGCUAACGGCAGAGGCAUUUGAAGAUGUAAACRUUGACAAGGCUAACAUCAGAAUAGGCGAAGACGGAAUAAAAAAAACAAAAAAAGAAGAAGAAAAGUCGGUGCUGAAACGACGGGUCAGCUGUUCGGUUCUUUUCUCACAGCUGGAAUGUGAACUGGAAAGUCUGGAGCUUCAUCCCCAGCUGGUUAUUUACACAGUGAACAGAACUAAGCUCUACUCUACACAACACGUGUGGCUGGUUCUGGAAAAGACAGGAGGAGGGAGUUUGGACGUGUGCGGCUGCUACUUGAAAAUGUAGUUGAUGAGGACCUGCAGGGCGAUGAGGAAAACGAUGAUGACGAAGUCGCGCUGCUGGAGGAAGGAGCCGCUYUCCGUUCGGCCGACGGCACGACUCCGCAGCACGACGAUGCUCCUGGAACACACACACAGAGGAAAAUACACCUGGACCAGUCCUGUGUCUCUUUC
Austrofundulus limnaeus is the source of this 959-nucleotide long non-coding RNA. RefSeq lists it as uncharacterized. NCBI's taxonomy places the organism in Eukaryota, Metazoa, Chordata, Actinopteri, Cyprinodontiformes, Rivulidae. The record is from RefSeq and is a predicted model, not a curated record. The transcript has 3 exons.